UAAAAAGUUAUACAGAAAACAGAGCAUGGU
RNAcentral lists this non-coding RNA (30 nucleotides) under Mus musculus (house mouse). Lineage: Eukaryota; Metazoa; Chordata; Mammalia; Rodentia; Muridae. The record is from RNAcentral.